CAAUAGCGUAUAUUAAAGUUGUUGCAGUUAAAAAGCUCGUAGUUGGAUCUCGGGUCCAGGCUGGAGGUCCACCUCGCGGUGGUUACUUCUCGUCCUGACCUACCAUCGGGUUUUCCCUUGGUGCUCUUGACUGAGUGUCUCGGGUGGCCAGAACGUUUACUUUGAAAAAUUAGAGUGUUCAAAGCAGGCGCGUCGCCUGAAUAAUGGUGCAUGGAAUAAUAAGAUAGGACCUCGGUUCUAUUUUGUUGGUUUCUAGAGCUGAGGUAAUGAUUAAUAGGGAUAGUUGGGGGCGAUUCGUAUUUAACUUGUCAGAGGUGAAAUUACUUGGAUUUGUUUAAAGAACGGACUACUGCGAAAGACAUUUGUCCAAGGAAUGUUUUCUAUUGAUCAAGAACGAAAGUUAAGGGG
This 408-nucleotide ribosomal RNA is filed under the name uncultured eukaryote. RNAcentral describes it as "bacterial SSU rRNA". It matches the Rfam family "Eukaryotic small subunit ribosomal RNA", at positions 592 to 997 of the family's 1831-position model. The record is from RNAcentral.